GAUGAACGCUGGCGGCGUGCCUAAUACAUGCAAGUCGAGCGAACGGACGAGAAGCUUGCUUCUCUGAUGUUAGCGGCGGACGGGUGAGUAACACGUGGAUAACCUACCUAUAAGACUGGGAUAACUUCGGGAAACCGGAGCUAAUACCGGAUGAUAUUUUGAACCGCAUGGUUCAAAAGUGAAAGACGGUCUUGCUGUCACUUAUAGAUGGAUCCGCGCUGCAUUAGCUAGUUGGUAAGGUAACGGCUUACCAAGGCAACGAUUCAUAGCCGACCUGAGAGGGGGAUCAGCCACACUGGAACUGAGACACGGUCCAGACUCCUACGGGAGGCAGCAGUAGGGAAUCUUCCGCAAUGGGCGAAAGCCUGACGGAGCAACGCCGCGUGAGUGAUGAAGGUCUUCGGAUCGUAAAACUCUGUUAUUAGGGAAGAACAUAUGUGUAAGUAACUGUGCACAUCUUGACGGUACCUAAUCAGAAAGCCACGGCUAACUACGUG
Molecule: ribosomal RNA, 497 nt
Filed under: uncultured bacterium
Lineage: Bacteria
Description: partial 16S ribosomal RNA
Rfam family: Bacterial small subunit ribosomal RNA
Source: RNAcentral